AGUGAACGCUGGCAGUAGGCCUAACACAUGCAAGUCGAACGGCAGCACAGUAAGAGCUUGCUCUUACGGGUGGCGAGUGGCGGACGGGUGAGGAAUACAUCGGAAUCUACUUUUUCGUGGGGGAUAACGUAGGGAAACUUACGCUAAUACCGCAUACGACCUACGGGUGAAAGCAGGGGAUCUUCGGACCUUGCGCGAUUGAAUGAGCCGAUGUCGGAUUAGCUAGUUGGCGGGGUAAAGGCCCACCAAGGCGACGAUCCGUAGCUGGUCUGAGAGGAUGAUCAGCCACACUGGAACUGAGACACGGUCCAGACUCCUACGGGAGGCAGCAGUGGGGAAUAUUGGACAAUGGGCGCUAGCCUGAUCCAGCCAUACCGCGUGGGUGAAGAAGGCCUUCGGGUUGUAAAGCCCUUUUGUUGGGAAAGAAAAGCAGCAGGUUAAUACCCCGCUGUUCUGACGGUACCCAAAGAAUAAGCACCGGCUAACUUCGUG
RNAcentral lists this ribosomal RNA (492 nucleotides) under uncultured bacterium. Its description in RNAcentral is "partial 16S ribosomal RNA". It matches the Rfam family "Bacterial small subunit ribosomal RNA", at positions 29 to 507 of the family's 1533-position model. The record is from RNAcentral.